UGGCGGAAUGCUUUACACAUGCAAGUCGAGCGGCAGCGCGGGGGCAACCCCUGGCGGCGAGCGGCGAACGGGUGAGUAAUAUAUCGGAACGUACCCCCGUCGUGGGGGGAUAACACAGCGAAAGCUGUGCUAAUACCGCAUACGACCUGAGGGUGAAAGCGGGGGAUCGCAAGACCUCGCGCGAUGGGAGCGGCCGAUAUCGGAUUAGCUUGUUGGUGAGGUAAAGGCUCACCAAGGCGACGAUCCGUAGCUGGUCUGAGAGGACGACCAGCCACACUGGAACUGAGACACGGUCCAGACUCCUACGGGAGGCAGCAGUGGGGAAUUUUGGACAAUGGGGGCAACCCUGAUCCAGCCAUUCCGCGUGAGUGAAGAAGGCCUUCGGGUUGUAAAGCUCUUUCAGCAGGAACGAAACGGUGGCCACUAAUACUGGCUACUAAUGACGGUACCUGAAGAAGAAGCACCGGCUAACUACGUGCCAGCAGCCGCGGUAAUACGUAGGGUGCGAGCGUUAAUCGGAAUUACUG
Molecule: ribosomal RNA, 527 nt
Filed under: uncultured bacterium
Lineage: Bacteria
Description: bacterial SSU rRNA
Rfam family: Bacterial small subunit ribosomal RNA
Source: RNAcentral